RNAcentral lists this ribosomal RNA (479 nucleotides) under uncultured bacterium. Its description in RNAcentral is "partial 16S ribosomal RNA". It matches the Rfam family "Bacterial small subunit ribosomal RNA", at positions 28 to 507 of the family's 1533-position model. The record is from RNAcentral.
GAUGAACGCUAGCGGGAGGCCUAACACAUGCAAGCCGAGCGGUAAUGUUUCUUCGGCAAUGAGCGAGCGGCGUACGGGCGCGUAACACGUGUGCAACCUGCCUUUAUCUGGGGGCUAGCCUUUCGAAAGGAAGAUUAAUACUCCAUAAUAUAUUGAACGGCAUCGUUUAAUAUUGAAAGCUCCGGCGGAUAGAGAUGGGCACGCGCAAGAUUAGCUAGUUGGUGAGGUAACGGCUCACCAAGGCGAUGAUCUUUAGGGGGCCUGAGAGGGUGAUCCCCCACACGGGUACGGAGACACGGACCAGAAAGCUACGGAAGGCAGCAGAGAGGAAUAUUGGACAAUGGGUGCAAGCCUGAGCCAGCCAUCCCGCGUGAAGUACGCCUGCCGUAUGAGUUGUAAGCUUCUGUUGUAUAGGUGUAAACCUACCCUCGAGAGGGUAGCUGAAGGUACUAGACGAGUAAGCACCGGCUAAGUCCGUG